UUCAUACUCCCUCCGUUCGGAAUUACUUGUCGCAGAAAUGGAUGUAUCUAGAUGUAUUUUAGUUCUAGAUACAUCCAUUUCCGAGACAAGUAAUUCCGAACGGCCGGAGUAUAUU
This is a non-coding RNA of Triticum urartu, 115 nucleotides long. Lineage: Eukaryota; Viridiplantae; Streptophyta; Magnoliopsida; Poales; Poaceae. The record is from Rfam.